Molecule: ribosomal RNA, 377 nt
Filed under: uncultured bacterium
Lineage: Bacteria
Description: bacterial SSU rRNA
Rfam family: Bacterial small subunit ribosomal RNA
Source: RNAcentral
UAAUACGAAGGGUGCAAGCGUUGCUCGGAAUUAUUGGGCGUAAAGGGUUGGUAGGUGGUCUUGUUUGUCUAAGGUGAAAUCCCAUGGCUUAACUGUGGAAGUGCCUUAGAAACGGCAAGACUAGAGUCCUAGAGGGGUUUGUGGAAUUCCCGGUGUAGCGGUGAAAUGCGUAGAGAUCGGGAGGAACACCAGCGGCGAAGGCGGCAAACUGGAUAGGCACUGACACUCAACAACGAAAGCGUGGGGAGCAAACAGGAUUAGAUACCCUGGUAGUCCACGCUGUAAACGAUGGGUACUAGGCUUUGUGGGAAUAGACCCCUGCAGAGCCGGAGCUAACGCAAUAAGUACCCCGCCUGGGAAGUACGGUCGCAAGACUA